AAAGAAAUUCAGUCUUUCAGAGCUGUGCAUCUUUAAUUCCCUUUGAUCUUUUGCUCAGUAUUUGAUUAAAUGUUUGGAUGUAGGCUGAAUCAGAGGCAGUUCAUAAUAACUGUGUAUUACUGCUAUGUGGUUCAAUCUACCUCUGUAAUCUUGCAUACCAGGAUAUAAGGACUUGGCGGUGGUUUCAUUCAUAAAUGAGAGGAUAUAUAAGGGGUAACUGUAAGUUUGGACAUGCUGAGACAUGCUGGACAAGAGACAGCAUGUAUGUACCUUCUCAUGUUGCUGCUGGCCUACGGGCUUCUUUGGUGGUCCAUUAAAGGCUAAGGGCAUGCUUUUAAAGGUGCUAGAAAGCACCAUGUGGGAGUUUUCACAGACCUGGACAAACAAGUAUCAGUGUGAUCUGAACACAGGAGUAAUUUUGCUAAGAUUAUCACUGUCAGCUUUCAUGAUGAAAGAACCAAAGAGAACUGAAGUACAACUCCUACGCUGCUGAAGCAGUCAGUCAUGUAGUGUGGAAAAAAAGAAAAAAGCACCUGCCACUGGUGGCUACCUCGUUUUUAUAUCCAGCUUCUGCGGUUUUCUCAAGUGUUGAACACUACAAGAAAUUCUCUUAGAGGAACAGAUGUGCUGGAGAGAAGCAAUAAAUACUUUCAAAUUUGAGAGAGGAGCAGUGAGAUAGUUGACGAGAGAUGCAGUAGGACUUCUCCCCUCAUACUCCUCACCCAGAGAAUAAUACAAUGAAGACUUCACAGUUUUAUAUUCUGACUUAACCCUUCAGAAGUGAAAUGCCACACAAAAACAGAAUGUGAUUGUCAAGAGAAAAGCCAGUCUGAAAGGAAAUAACGUGCUGACUGAUCUUUAGCCUUUUUGAGGUGUGUGGAAAACUUGGACAGAAGAAGCUCCACUUUAUAGGGAUAACUUCAGACACAGAAUCACAGUAUGGUAUGGGUUGGAAAACUUUGCUCCUUUUGAAGGCUUCGAUGGAUACGCGGUCACCUCAGUCCCCAGGGCUUGCACAGCUGCUGGAAGUAACUGAUGGAUGAGCACCUGUUAGAAAGUGGAUCUAUCUGCACGAAUAAUCCUGGAUGUUUAGAUUGUGGUUGGAAGUUGGAGCUAACAGGGCAUCACAAGGCUCUGACAUCGCUCUGCCUACUCAGGACUCCUGUUUUCUGAGAUACCUGUGGCACCUUUAUCACAACUUCACCUUACAGCAGCCACCCUGCACCCUCUGCCAGGGGCUACUGAAGACAUUUCACCUAUGACGGAAUGAGCUCCCUUUUAGGUACAGAAAGGUCACUGUCAGGUCUCCCCAAAGCCUUACCUUCGCCAGGCUGAACAGCCCCAGGAAUCUCAGCCUGCCCACAUAGGAGAGGUGUUCCAACUCUUGGAUUUCUUUUGUGGCUCUCCUCUGGAUGUGCUCCAACAGGUCUGUGUCUCUCCUGUAUUGAGGACUCCACAUCAGGAUGCAAUACUCCAGUGCUCCUUUUCUGAGGACUAUGGGCUAAACUCCAUUAGUGAGCAAAGAUCACUAAAGCUCUGCCACUGAAGUCAGAGCUGCCUUCUGUCAGCAAAGCCAAGAGUUACUUGGAAUUGUAUGGAUGGGGAACAGGAUAGAUCCAGAUGACCUCCUUUGGAGUGUUUGGUGAGCUCUGACCUUCAGAAAAGGGUGGAUUGACCUAAGCCUGAGAACAUUAAGCUUCCCAUCCUUUCCAGAAGCAAAGGUGUAUUCCAACAGUUCAGACCACUUCAGCUAUUCUUGCAUGAAGAAUGUGCUGAAGAUUAUUUCAUCCUGAAUUUUGUUGUGAUCUAGAAACAUGGAGAAAGAACUACAAGAACAACCACGUUUCUUUUCAGUGAUGUCCUUGUGUAACAUGGAGCUUUUAUUUUAACUUGAAAAUUCAUUCAGGCAUGAUUUAGGGUUAUUGAAGUAGUAAGAUCUGCUAGAAGACAAUGGAAGCAAAAAGAAGAAAUUAGAGCAGAAGAAAAUGAGGAACAGAGAAUGUGGAAAAAUUCCAGGAAUGAGAAAGAGACAGAAAACACAGAAGAAAGGCGGUAUAGACAGAAAAGAAAACUGUCUUUAACUAUUAUUGAGCAGGUUUAUGCAGUCUGAGACAGUGAUACAAAUAGCUACUCAGAUUCUGCAGUGUGUACGCUGGGUGAUAUAUGUUAACCUGAUAUACAGUCUGGUGAAUUUUGCAUACCUUUGAAGUCCACAGAGAAAAACUAUUAAAUUACUGUGACUUCUUUGAUAUACGAUAUUUCAUUAAUGGAAACUGAGAAUCCAAACAAAUGGAAGAUCAAGUGGUCCAUAACUAAAUGGAGCACUACAGAAGGAUAAAAUGAACCAGACUGGGCUGGAGGGAUUAUAUGCUGACAUAUGGAAAGUGGUGCAGAUGGAUUUCCUCAAGAUUAAAUAAGACAACUAAUAGUGUAGACCUUUGCCACCAGGCUAACUUGCAAAUUCCUUCUUUCUGAAAUCUAAUUUGAUUAAAGCGAAAAGCUGAAAGGCAAUUCUGAUUUGCUAACACUUUGCAUGGCUCCCGUGAAAUCAUGUAAUCUGAAAUUUUUUGUGUUGCAUGUAGUAGAGGUUAUGACUUGCAGAUGCAUGAAAUUCUAUGCAUGUAAACAGUUCCAUUUUGUGGAAUUUUUUAAAAAUGUUGUUUAGCAGCUUUAGUUCUGUGGAUACUCUGACAUUUUACGAUACAUAGAUUGAGUUGGAAAGGGAAGGAGAGGAUCAUAAUGAAAGAUACUGUGGGGGUCAGCAAGAGUCUGUAAAACUCAUCUUGAGAUUCUCCUGAUCAUCUUGCUUGGAGUUACACUUUGUACUUGGUGCUGUGUUAUCAGGGAUGUGAAUGGGAGCUGCAACUACAGAUCAUGGAACUGCUUGCAGAAUGGCAGUCUAGAAUUUGUGUUGAGAACACCCUUAACUUGUAUUUUCCUGGGUAGACCUGCCCACGUUCCCAGGUCAUUUGCUGAGUUGGAAGAAGAAAAGCAAAAAUAGGUACCUACACAUAGCUAAUCAACAUUUUCCCAUAGAAAGAAAUUUAAGUAUGCCACUGUAAGCUAAAGGAAGUUGGUACUUCUUUUAGAGGAAGCCCUCUAUGACAAUAUGAUAAACCCAUCCUUUGCUACCUGUUAUGAUAUCCAGUGCUUCAAUGCAGUAAAAAUUAUGUUGAUGAGAACUCUUCAUUAAGGGAAUCUACUGAGAAAACAGGUGUUAUCUGAAGUCUAGAAUGGACACGUACAAUGUGCCUGAUUCUCAAUAUGGGUGUCAAUUUAAAGUAAGGUUGAUUAAAGGGUCUCUUCCGAUACUAUUUUCAGUCCCAAGUCUGUACUUCAGUGACUGACUUCCAAAAUGCUUACUUGUUGCUUACUUGUUGUCUUUUCUUUCAGAUGUAGUUACAGGUGGCUGCCUUAGUGUGAAAUUCAUGUUGGCUAUUUCUUUGUCUCUGGUAUUUUCACCUCAGUAGUAGCUAGCAGAGUCUCCACAGCAUGUCUCAGUGUCCUCUAAUUCAUUCACACAAACAAUGUAAUGCUAGCAGGGCAGCACCUUGAUUGAGAUUAGGCUCCAUGACUGAAUGAUGUUUCUAUUGAAUUCGUACUAACGUCGCCUGCAAGAUUUAUUUUUCUGCCCUGCAAAAGAGUUGACCUUUGUGUGCCAUAUGAUUUUCUAUUCAGACUGCAAUAUAGUGCCAGAAGCUUCCUUAUUUCUGUUAAUAUCAAAUGUGCAUAAUACCCAUUUUUGGUCUUCAACUCAGCUACUACCUAGAGGUUGCAGCUCCUGAAAUUGUGCAGAAGUGUUAAUUUUGCCAAACUUCAGAGAAUAUGCACUAGGGCAAUAUUUUAUUAUUGUUAUUAUUAUUACUUUUAACACUGAAGUUGGAAUUUAAAUAAAUAAAAACUUAGGUUUAUCUGUCAAGCAAAAUGAAAGCCCAAGAUCUAUUACUGUUAAACUUAAUACUAGAGCUAAAGAAUAUUAUGCCACUGGUCAGGAAUAUGCCCUAAAAUCCAACAAUUUGGUGGUGAUUGACAAAUGAAGUAAAGCAAGAGGUGUGUUGUUGUUGUUUUUUUUUUGAAUCCUACAUGAUCUGUUGCAAAAAUUCUCAAGAUGUCUUUCUUCUGGACAUAAAUAUCUGACUUGAAGUUUUGGAAAAAAAAAACUCCUUUUCAUUACAUGUAAAAUUCAACAUGUGUCAAAUUGCUGUUCUUCCCCACCAGUUUUGCUAACAUUGUAAAUUCUUCUGUAGAACCUAUCAACAGCAGAGAUGAAUUUGGCAUUUCUUCUUUCUAGCAAAAGCUGCAUGUAUUUCUUUCAUCUGAGACCACCGAUUGCUGAUGUGUUUAGUUUUGCUUGUUCUUUUUUGCAGUAUUCCUUUGCUUUUUCCAUUAAUUAAGAUACUAUAUAAAUGCAUAUUGUACUGAUAAACCUUAAAUCAACUCUUCUAACAUGUUUGUAUGGAAAAUACUGUGAUGAGAAAGCAUGAAUUCUUCAUUUAGUGUUGGCCUUCACUGCAUUGCAGCACUGUGUUCUAACAAAUGGGUUCGUACACCCCCAGGUACCUUCUGUAACUCCUUCCUCCGUUUCUUCUAGUGCAACACUUAGACAAGACAACACCUAAGUAAAAGUUACAGCAAAGUCUAUAGUUUUCAGGACAAGGCAAUUAUUUGUCGUAUUUUCAAAGUUGGUUGUGCUUGUCAUCAAUUGUUUCUCUAGGUGGUGUGUGAUGGCCAUGUAGGAGGAAGGACAUGAGAGUGAAGCCUUCACAGGUGAAGUGAGGUUUCUUUUUUACCUUUAAAGGAGAGUAGCACCAGGCUGUGCCUUCCUGCCCUUUAACAGACACAAAACAUAAGUAGUUAUAUAUUCCUCUUGUCCUCAAAACUCAUAUGGCUUUACGUAGUUCCCCUCCUUUUCUGUAGUUUAACUGUAUUUUUUGUCUCUUGGCUGAAGGAACAUUAAGGAUCACUGGGAAUCUGAGUCCCCUUUGCCUGGUCCUCAGCACAGCAGUGCUUGAGUACUCAGCAGGUUUUCUCCUACCAGCUAUAGAGGAAGAAAUACUCAAGGCUGCAGGAAGUUAUGUUUCCAGAAAGACAAGAUAAAUGAAAGAUUGCAAACAUCACAACAGACAUUCACUAGGUCUGAACUGUGUCAGUACUGGAUAUAGGAUGCAAACUCUAUUUUGGAAGAAGGGAAGGCUUCCAGGGAAAGGGAGAGGUAAUACUAAUAGAGGAAAAAGAUGUUUCUCUCUGAGAUGAGGGGAGAAGGAAGUGAAGGUUAAGUUGUAGACAUUAGCCCUUUCUUCUUUACAAUGAAAUAAUGUUUCUUGUUUUAAAGUGUUGCCUUCAAUGCUGUUGAAUGCUACUUCCUCUGCAGGCCAGGGAGACAUUGACCAAUGUCCUCUCCCGAACUCCUCACAUCAGAUAGCUGUCAGCAGUAUCUCCAUUUCCCAAGUUGUUUGACAACUCUAUGGGCUUAAAAGAAAGUCAGACUCACAUGGUGAAGAAGCAAUAUUAUGAAUUAAUUGAUGGUUUGUGACUUAAGGUUUGUGAGAUGAAAAUCAAGGUGAAAUACAGGCAGGAUCUAAGCUGUGCUAAAGAUGCUGAGGUAUUGAGCUUGUCAGAGGGAGUCAGCAUAGUUCGCAUAAACAAUAGGGAGUGCCAGCAUGCUGAGAGAACCUGAGGCAUGGAAAAAAUGAUUAACAUCAUGUUGUAGAGGCAGACUGUGUUAAGAAGAUACAAUUGUAUUUUUUAAUGCUUGCAUGGAAUAAUUAAUGGAAAAACUGAGGCAGAGAAGCGGGUGGCUUGACUAGGAUGUCACCACAAAUAAUUUCAGAAUCAAGACCACUUCUACAAAGUGAAGCUUAAGGAAGUAGAGGUCUUUUUUAAUCUGCACAUAUUUGAAUUUAGGAAAAUUGUUCAAAAUUACACCUGGAGUGCAAGAGUUAAAUCUAAUGCUGGGAAUGUCUGCUCACGAAUAUUUGUCAUCACUCAGAAUAACACUAGUUUGAGUAGUUGGCUGCUUUCUGUUGCUUUGUUUGGCUGUAAAGCAGAAGGAUUGGAACAGUGAAAUAGAUAUUUUAACACAUACACAGGCAAAAUUCCAUUUGUUUUUUCAUCCAAAACAAGUGGCCUUUUAGCUGUUGUGAUAAGUCAAAAAUCUAGAUAUUUUCCUCAAUUUUAACAGGAACUAGAGGUAAAGAUCUUUUAGGCCAAAUAUUCAAAAUGGUCUUACACCAUCUUAAUUUUUUUGAUUUAAUAUGGUUAUUUUGGUUAUCUUGCUGUCCUCAGAAUAACUGAUUAUCCUUCCUUUUGGACAAGAGGCCAAAUGAGUGAAGUUCUACGUUUAAGUUGUAUGACUUAAAAUUACCUAGGGGGUAACUAAUGUAGAAAUAGUAGAAAGUAGGUAAACAUCUUGAAUACAAUGGAGCUGCUGCCAACACACAGCCAGAGACCAGAUUAAGAAUCAAAAUUUCAGAAGUAAGUAUGAGGGAAGAUGUGUCCAUAUAACAGGAUGAUUUAUUUUUGCUAUUAUGUUUUGUUUCUCUUCUAGGCCUCCACAGAAAACUGCUUUGUGGUCUUUCCGUAUGGCAUCACAGAAAAAGGAGUCAAGCUGAAGCACAGAUACAGGACUCACAUUUAGACAGGCACCAAUUUAAUGCCUCUUGCUGUGAUCACUGUUUUUGAGAAACAAGCUGACGUUAUUCAUGAAACAAGACAUUUAAAAGUGAGACACAAAAUAAGACAUCUAAAUUGAUGAAAUAUUUAUUCUUCCAAUGUUCUAGGGAAAUUGUUUUUCCACCAUGCAUGUGCUUAGCCUGCUCUUUUAUUUUCCACUUUAUGCUGAUGUGGCAGGGGGGAAAAGUUAUGAACCUAUAUAGAUCAUGGCAUUUAAAAAAAGAAAAACACCACCACCACAACAACAAAACACCAAACACUGCUAAAAAUGAUAUUGCAAUCUUGGGUGUUAGAUUAGAGAGUAAGUAAUUGAUGAAACAAUUAAUAUAGGAGAGUGAUGGUGAAAGGUAAUCAGAGAAGAAAAAAUAUGGAAUAAUUUUCAAUUCUUGUGACACAUUAUUUAAACUCAAAUUAUCUUGAGGCAAAAUUGUUCUUGUGAUUCUAAUAAUAAAUAUUCAGAUCAAACUGUAAAUAACUAAAAAUAAGAUAAUCUGUCUUUUUGUGUGUUUGAGAAUGAACGACUCAGCAUUUGAGUUAGACCUACACUAUUUAAAACCAGGCUCUGUUCUGGAGUGCUAAUAAAAUCUUUCUUCUGUAUGUUGUUUGGAAAAGGACACGUGAAAUGGGUAUUUCAAUGUCUUAAAAUAUAUAUAUGUGUGUGUAUUUGUGCCAGCGUAUUAAGUGAGAAAAAUAUACCAAAACAAGAUUCUGGGAACAGCCAGCAAAUGCAAGUUUGCUUAUGCAGAGAACUUUUAUGUAGUGGAAUCUUAUCAGGAUGAAAACAAUGGAUUAAUUUAUUUCUCUGUUUAUGAUGGUGUGAACAUAGACAAACCUUAAGUAGGUUGUGUCCGAUCUACAUGUCAUCCUCUGAUACAAGUUGGGGACAGCAAAGAUGAAGAUGGAUCGAUUUGAUUUGAGAUUACGUUAAAUGAAGAGCUGAAAAAAACUGCAAAACAAAGAACAAAAUGCUGCUUUUCAUUUACAUACUGGAGGUAUGAAAUUGGUAAUUUAAUAGGGUUUUAUGAGAUAUGUUUCAACAGAUAAGCAGGUAAGUAUAUAUUAAACUGAAAUAUUCCAUGGAAAUUCAUGAACUUUGACCUAUCUUCUGAAAAAAUAUUUAAUUAAUUUUAAUUGAUUUUCGCACAACCAAACUCUUCAUUAAAAAAAAAAAAAAAUGGAAUGAGGGGAAAAUCUAAGAAGUCUGGGCAUUUCUAGUUCUUAUUCUGGC
Gallus gallus (chicken) is the source of this 7900-nucleotide long non-coding RNA. The record is from Ensembl. NCBI's taxonomy places the organism in Eukaryota, Metazoa, Chordata, Aves, Galliformes, Phasianidae.